AGCUCCAAUAGCGUAUAUUAAAGUUGUUGCAGUUAAAAAGCUCGUAGUUGGAUUUGUGGUUGGAGGGUUCUGCCGUUCGCUUAGCGUUCGUGUUUGAACGUCUCCGUCCAUCCUUGGGUGGAUCCUGCGUGGCAUUCAGUUGUCGUGUAGGGGAUGCCCAUCGUUUACUGUGAAAAAAUUAGAGUGUUCAAAGCAGGCUUACGCCUUGAAUAUAUUAGCAUGGAAUAAUGAGAUAGGACCUGGGUACUAUUUUGUUGGUUUGCGCACCGAGGUAAUGAUUAAUAGGGACAGUUGGGGGUAUUCGUAUUUCAUUGUCAGAGGUGAAAUUCUUGGAUUUCUGAAAGACGAACUACUGCGAAAGCAUUUACCAAGGAUGUUUUCA
Molecule: ribosomal RNA, 382 nt
Filed under: uncultured eukaryote
Lineage: Eukaryota
Description: SSU rRNA
Rfam family: Eukaryotic small subunit ribosomal RNA
Source: RNAcentral